RNAcentral lists this non-coding RNA (176 nucleotides) under Ophiophagus hannah (king cobra). RNAcentral describes it as "Eukaryotic small subunit ribosomal RNA". It matches the Rfam family "Eukaryotic small subunit ribosomal RNA", at positions 1668 to 1823 of the family's 1831-position model. Lineage: Eukaryota; Metazoa; Chordata; Lepidosauria; Squamata; Elapidae. The record is from Rfam by way of RNAcentral.
ACCGCCCGUCGCUACUACUGAUUGGAUGAUUUAGUGAGGUCCUCAGAUCGGCCCCGCCAGGGUCGGCCUCGGCCCUGGCGGAGCGCCGAGAAGACGGUCAAACUUGACUAUCUAGAGGAAGUAAAANAGAGGAAGUAAAAGUCGUAACAAGGUUUCCAUAGGUGGACCUGCGGAAG